Molecule: long non-coding RNA, 823 nt
Organism: Hevea brasiliensis (rubber tree)
Lineage: Eukaryota; Viridiplantae; Streptophyta; Magnoliopsida; Malpighiales; Euphorbiaceae
Exons: 3
Source: RefSeq, a predicted model, not a curated record
AGGGCUUUAUACCAAUUGCAAUUAUUGCAAUAAAGAUAUAACCGGGAAGAUCUAUAUCAAGUGUGCGGAAUGCCCUAGCUUUGACCUUUGUGUAGAGUGCUUCUCUAUUGGAGCUGAGGUGACACCUCAUAAAAAUAGUCAUUCUUACAGGAUUAUGGAAAUUUUAUCUUUCUCGCUUAUUUGCCCUGACUGGAAUGCAAAUGAGGAAAAACUACUUUUGGAGGUUCUUUUUGGAGGACAAAAAGGGAUCUUCUAUGCUUGGGAAGCAUACUUUGAAGGAGUCUCCAUUUCCUCCCUCCAGAGUCAAGUAAGGUUUCCGUUCUUCUCCACGUAUUCAUUUUCUCUUUCCAUCUAUAAAACCGUCUCAUGCCUGUUUUCAUGACUAACUCAGAGUUGAAGAAAUGCAUAAAGCUGGUUCUUCUGGCCGGUUACUAUCUAACUUAAAUGCAGGUAAAUGUUAUGUAAUCAUGAGUAGCUGCUGAUCUUUUAUUUAAAAUGAAAUAAAAAAAAUCUCGUGGCUGUGAUCAACUGUUUGCCUUGUUUUGUUAAACUCAAGAUGUAGAAUCUAGGGUCCAUUCUAAUAGCUUAAUACAACAGCAACAGCUGCUUUUAAGAAGGCAUCCAAAAUGGCCCGUGUUAAAGAUGGCCUCAGUGUCGUUAAAGUGGAAGGUCUGAUAUAUGACAUUUCUCGUUAGAUUUCUAGCUUAUUUUAUGAUGGUGACGGUGUAGCAAUGCUCUAGGUGCUUGUAGAAUGUUUUUUGGCAAUUGUGGCAUAUAUUGUGUAAUAUUUUAAAAUGUUGACUGAUUGAGAUUCAUUUUGGAG